Molecule: ribosomal RNA, 301 nt
Filed under: uncultured bacterium
Lineage: Bacteria
Description: partial 16S ribosomal RNA
Rfam family: Bacterial small subunit ribosomal RNA
Source: RNAcentral
CAGCAGCCACGGGAAUACGGAGGGUGCAAGCGUUAAUUGGAAUUACUGGGCGUAAAGCGCACGCAGGCGGUCUGACAAGUCAGAUGUGAAAUCCCCGGGCUUAACCUGGGAACUGCAUUUGAAACUGUCAGGCUGGAGUCUUGUAGAGGGGGGUGGAAUUCCAGGUGUAGCGGUGAAAUGCGUAGAGAUCUGGAGGAAUACCGGUGGCGAAGGCGGCCCCCUGGACAAAGACUGACGCUCAGGUGCGAAAGCGUGGGGAGCAAACAGGAUUAGAUACCCGUGUAGUCCCUGUCUCUUAUAC